UACGGAGGGAACUAGCGUUAUUCGGAAUUACUGGGCGUAAAGCGCACGUAGGCGGCUUUGUAAGUAAGAGGUGAAAGCCUGGUGCUCAACACCAGAACUGCCUUUUAGACUGCAUCGCUUGAAUCAUGGAGAGGUGAGUGGAAUUCCGAGUGUAGAGGUGAAAUUCGUAGAUAUUCGGAAGAACACCAGUGGCGAAGGCGGCUCACUGGACAUGUAUUGACGCUGAGGUGCGAAAGCGUGGGGAGCAAACAGG
This 253-nucleotide ribosomal RNA is filed under the name uncultured bacterium. RNAcentral's name for it is "partial 16S ribosomal RNA". It matches the Rfam family "Bacterial small subunit ribosomal RNA", at positions 524 to 776 of the family's 1533-position model. The record is from RNAcentral.